This 425-nucleotide ribosomal RNA is filed under the name uncultured bacterium. RNAcentral describes it as "partial 16S ribosomal RNA". It matches the Rfam family "Bacterial small subunit ribosomal RNA", at positions 354 to 796 of the family's 1533-position model. The record is from RNAcentral.
GUGGGGAAUAUUGGACAAUGGGCGCAAGCCUGAUCCAGCCAUGCCGCGUGAGUGAUGAAGGCCUUAGGGUUGUAAAGCUCUUUCAGUGGGGACGAUAAUGACGGUACCCACAGAAGAAGCCCCGGCUAACUUCGUGCCAGCAGCCGCGGUAAUACGAAGGGGGCUAGCGUUGUUCGGAUUUACUGGGCGUAAAGCGCACGUAGGCUGAUCGUUAAGUCGGGGGUGAAAUCCUGGAGCUCAACUCCAGAACUGCCUUCGAUACUGGCGAGCUUGAGUCCGGAAGAGGUGAGUGGAACUCCUAGUGUAGAGGUGGAAUUCGUAGAUAUUAGGAAGAACACCAGUGGCGAAGGCGGCUCACUGGUCCGGUACUGACGCUGAGGUGCGAAAGCGUGGGGAGCAAACAGGAUUAGAAACCCCAGUAGUCC